CAGCACGUAGCCGGCGCUGUUGCGGUAGUCGGCGUUGGCGUCGCCGACUACUGUGCCUGAAGCAUCCGUGGUGCCAUCCGCCGUCUUGA
RNAcentral lists this transfer RNA (89 nucleotides) under Arthrobacter sp. NicSoilE8. RNAcentral describes it as "tRNA-Ala". Lineage: Bacteria; Bacillati; Actinomycetota; Actinomycetes; Micrococcales; Micrococcaceae. The record is from RNAcentral.